AAUGCACACGCGUGGGAGGCGAGAGACCGGGGAACAGCGAAACCACCAGUGCAGGAAACAAAGCAGCAGCCACAGCGCAGCAGCUGCCUCGCCGUUGUCAAGUGUCGGCCGAGGUAUCGCGGGACUACACAUAGCGGGUCAUGAGGGGGAAAUUGUUCUUCCGCCUCCAUCAUCUCAUUCAUCCUACUACAUCUACUUGAAGCCACAAGGGGAAGUUACAUCCACAUGAAUUCAGAUGCCAGAAAUAAAAUGAGGAAAGAAGAGCCAUAUUGCGUAUUGAAACUUGAAGCUUAGCAAAUAUGGCAUUUACAACACACAAGGGCGUCAGAACCUGCCAACCUGUAUAGCUAGUCAACAAGUGCUCAGUUAAAGAAGGGUGCCUUGAGUGCCCUCUGCUGCUGUGCAUCUCUGCAUGAAGAUAUAAAGUAUAAAUGGUGGAGCUGUCCCCAACACCCUCCCCAUCCCUCAGUUUCUGCCUGCCAUAUGGACUUCAACAGAGAUGGGAAGGAAGGUGACUCACAAGCAGAUUGAUCUGGAGGUGGAUCCGCAGUCUAUUUGAACAGUGAUUGUAGAACAAAAGGCCUGAAUCUUACUGUUCCUGGACUGAUGGGCUAUAGCGUAAUGAAAAGCAAAUGUGUCUACUGAUGACCAAGUUGCUACUUUGAAAAUGUCCAGAAUAGGAACUUGUGCCAGAAAAGCUGCAGAUGCUACAUGUGCCCUAGUUGAAUAGGCAAGCAUUCCAACUGGUGGAGUGACAUUAGCCAACUGGUAACACAAAUGAAUACACAAAGAAAUCCAGGAGGAAGUCCUCUGAACAGAUACUUGUGGCAUUUCCUUCUGUCCACCACCACAAUGAACAAAGGUGAUGAUCUAAAUGAUUUAGUCUGGUCCAGAUAAAAGGCUAAAACUC
Long non-coding RNA from Mauremys reevesii (Reeves's turtle), 910 nucleotides. RefSeq lists it as uncharacterized. The transcript has 5 exons. Lineage: Eukaryota; Metazoa; Chordata; Testudines; Geoemydidae. The record is from RefSeq and is a predicted model, not a curated record.